Molecule: ribosomal RNA, 261 nt
Filed under: uncultured bacterium
Lineage: Bacteria
Description: partial 16S ribosomal RNA
Rfam family: Bacterial small subunit ribosomal RNA
Source: RNAcentral
GUCCACACUGUAAACGAUGAAUGCUAGGUGUAGGGGUAUCGACCCCUUCUGUGCCGGAGUAAACACAAUAAGCAUUCCGCCUGGGGAGUACGGCCGCAAGGUUGAAACUCAAAGGAAUUGACGGGGCCCGCACAAGCAGCGGAGCAUGUGGUUUAAUUCGACGCAACGCGAAGAACCUUACCAGGUCUUGACAUCCACUUAAAGCCAUAGAGAUAUGGUGUGAGCUUGCUCGAAGUGAGACAGGUGGUGCAUGGUUGUCGU